GAUGAACGCUAGCGGCAGGCCUAAUACAUGCAAGCUGAACGGCAAGAUCUUUAGCAAUAGAGGUCCUAGAGUAGCGUAAGGGUGCGUAACACGUAUGCAAUCUACCCUCAACAGGAGGAUAGCUCCCCGAAAGGGGAAUUAAGACUCCAUAAUAUGAUUGACUGGCAUCAGUUGAUUAUUAAAGUACAAGCGGUUGAGGAUGAGCAUGCGUCUGAUUAGUUAGUUGGUGCGGGUAACGGCCCACCAAGACGAUGAUCAGUAGGGGAACUGAGAGGUUGGUCCCCCACACUGGCACUGAGAUACGGGCCAGACUCCUACGGGAGCAG
RNAcentral lists this ribosomal RNA (326 nucleotides) under uncultured Bacteroidota bacterium. Its description in RNAcentral is "bacterial SSU rRNA". It matches the Rfam family "Bacterial small subunit ribosomal RNA", at positions 28 to 351 of the family's 1533-position model. The record is from RNAcentral. Lineage: Bacteria; Pseudomonadati; Bacteroidota.